AUUCAGCUGACGAGUCUCAACCAGGCUGAAACGCUCGUCCUGGAU
Non-coding RNA from Schistosoma curassoni, 45 nucleotides. Lineage: Eukaryota; Metazoa; Platyhelminthes; Trematoda; Strigeidida; Schistosomatidae. The record is from Rfam.